UGAGUAACACGUAUCCAACCUGCCGACAACACUGGGAUAGCCUUUCGAAAGAAAGAUUAAUACCGGAUGGCAUAGUUUUCCCGCAUGGGAUAAUUAUUAAAGAAUUUCGGUUGUCGAUGGGGAUGCGUUCCAUUAGGCAGUUGGCGGGGUAACGGCCCACCAAACCUACGAUGGAUAGGGGUUCUGAGAGGAAGGUCCCCCACAUUGGAACUGAGACACGGUCCAAACUCCUACGGGAGGCAGCAGUGAGGAAUAUUGGUCAAUGGACGAGAGUCUGAACCAGCCAAGUAGCGUGAAGGAUGACUGCCCUAUGGGUUGUAAACUUCUUUUAUACGGGAAUAAAGUGAGCCACGUGUGGCUUUUUGUAUGUACCGUAUGAAUAAGGAUCGGCUAACUCCGUGCCAGCAGCCGCGGUAAUACGGAGGAUUCGAGCGUUAUCCGGAUUUAUUGGGUUUAAAGGGAGCGUAGGCGGGUUGUUAAGUCAGUUGUGAAAGUUUGCGGCUCAACCGUAAAAUUGCAGUUGAUACUGGCGACCUUGAGUGCAACAGAGGUAGGCGGAAUUCGUGGUGUAGCGGUGAAAUGCUUAAAUAUCACGAAGAACUCCGAUUGCGAAGGCAGCUUACUGGAUUGUAACUGACGCUGAUGCUCGAA
This 651-nucleotide ribosomal RNA is filed under the name uncultured bacterium. Its description in RNAcentral is "bacterial SSU rRNA". It matches the Rfam family "Bacterial small subunit ribosomal RNA", at positions 107 to 757 of the family's 1533-position model. The record is from RNAcentral.